This 619-nucleotide ribosomal RNA is filed under the name Leuconostoc citreum. RNAcentral describes it as "bacterial SSU rRNA". It matches the Rfam family "Bacterial small subunit ribosomal RNA", at positions 78 to 683 of the family's 1533-position model. The record is from RNAcentral. Lineage: Bacteria; Bacillati; Bacillota; Bacilli; Lactobacillales; Lactobacillaceae.
GCUUGCACCUUUCAAGCGAGUGGCGAACGGGUGAGUAACACGUGGAUAACCUGCCUCAAGGCUGGGGAUAACAUUUGGAAACAGAUGCUAAUACCGAAUAAAACUUAGUAUCGCAUGAUAUCAAGUUAAAAGGCGCUACGGCGUCACCUAGAGAUGGAUCCGCGGUGCAUUAGUUAGUUGGUGGGGUAAAGGCUUACCAAGACGAUGAUGCAUAGCCGAGUUGAGAGACUGAUCGGCCACAUUGGGACUGAGACACGGCCCAAACUCCUACGGGAGGCUGCAGUAGGGAAUCUUCCACAAUGGGCGCAAGCCUGAUGGAGCAACGCCGCGUGUGUGAUGAAGGCUUUCGGGUCGUAAAGCACUGUUGUAUGGGAAGAAAUGCUAAAAUAGGGAAUGAUUUUAGUUUGACGGUACCAUACCAGAAAGGGACGGCUAAAUACGUGCCAGCAGCCGCGGUAAUACGUAUGUCCCGAGCGUUAUCCGGAUUUAUUGGGCGUAAAGCGAGCGCAGACGGUUGAUUAAGUCUGAUGUGAAAGCCCGGAGCUCAACUCCGGAAUGGCAUUGGAAACUGGUUAACUUGAGUGUUGUAGAGGUAAGUGGAACUCCUUUGUUAAAGCCG